UGCUCUCCAAAAUGGAUGGAUGGUAC
This 26-nucleotide non-coding RNA is filed under the name Rattus norvegicus (Norway rat). The record is from RNAcentral. Lineage: Eukaryota; Metazoa; Chordata; Mammalia; Rodentia; Muridae.